Molecule: small RNA, 821 nt
Filed under: Arabidopsis thaliana (thale cress)
Lineage: Eukaryota; Viridiplantae; Streptophyta; Magnoliopsida; Brassicales; Brassicaceae
Description: ncRNA (AT3G45638)
Source: RNAcentral
UAAGCUAUUUUCGAUCAGAAUUUUUUUAUUCUCUUCUUUCUCUAAAAUUUUGAGAAAAAGAAAAAAUUCUUUGUUUCGUAUGCCUUCCCGUAUGUUUGUGAGGUUGUGUUCGGACAUGGUCCAACUUUUUGUUUCAAUACCGUACGGUGAGUUCUAGUUAUAGUUACCGGUAAAUCCGGUUUUAUCGUCGCCGUUCUUUGGUAUUUUGCCUUUAUUUGUCUUUAUUUCUAAUAAACUUAUUAAGUUUCUUCAUUACGAAGAAAAAGUGGAAGUUUAAGAGUUUCGGCUUCAUAAGCCUUGUCGUUCAAAUUUUGUAGUAGUUUCACUUGAUGGGCAUGGCGACGUUAAGUCUCACCGGAAAAUCUUUUUGGUUGCUUACGUCAUUGUGAUGCUUCAUGCUACUUUGGAAUGGUGGACGCUUUCCUUCAUAUGAAAGAAAGUUUCGUUCGUUUGUUAAAUCUGAGUUUAAUUUCGUUUGGAAGAGGAAGACUAGAUGUGCAAUUUCUUUAGAGGGUCUUCAGUGCUCUACUUGAAGCUUCUGGUUUUGCGGAGUGAACGAACUUUCGGUGGGUAGGCGUUCUUCGAUCUCAGAAAACAUGCCGGCAGUGGUUGGCAUUCUCGACAAACACGUUCUUCUCGUCACGUGUCUGUGAUUUCCUCAUGAGGCGACACAUGUCUCUGUGUUGUAUGGCUUUCUUAUCCCUUCCUCGAUGGGUUACUAUAUUGGGCUCGGUUUGACUUUUGUUGUUGGACUUUUGUUUUAAGAAGGCUUUGUUUUAAGAAGAAAGAGAUAGCAAAAUAGGCAAAAUCUCUAUUUGCGC